This 749-nucleotide ribosomal RNA is filed under the name Protoblastenia calva. RNAcentral describes it as "mitochondrial SSU rRNA". It matches the Rfam family "Bacterial small subunit ribosomal RNA", at positions 372 to 1191 of the family's 1533-position model. Lineage: Eukaryota; Fungi; Ascomycota; Lecanoromycetes; Lecanorales; Psoraceae. The record is from RNAcentral.
CCAGCAACUUGGAGGAAUGUAUAUUGCAUUAACAAUAUAAUGCAAAAUCUAUUUGCUGAUUAAAAUUCUGGGUAGGUUUUGAUUAUGACAUUAUCUAUCCAUGUGUCUUGACCAAAUUACGUGCCAGCAGUCGCGGUAAUACGUAGAAGACUAGUGUUAUUCAUCUUUAUUUGGUUUAAAGGGUACCUAGACGGUAAAUCAAGCCCUAGACGGGACUAAUUUGCUAGAGUUACUUGUGAAGGGGCUUAAAGGUACUAAUGGUGUAGAGAUAAAAUUUUGUAAUACCAUUUUUCGAAAGAAAAGUAAUGGCACAGGUAUAGGCGAAAGCAUCCCCUUAUGUGAUAACUGACGUUGAAGGACGAAGGCUUUGAGUAGCGAACAGGAUUAGAUACCCUGGUAGUCGAAGCAGAGAAUUAUGAGUGUCAUAGAUUAGAGAUUUAAGUUUAUUCUAUAAAUGAAAGUGUAAGCACUCCACCUCAAGAGUAAUUUGGCAACAUUGGAACUGAAAUCAUUAGACCGUUUCUGAAACCAGUAAUGAAGUAUGUUGUUUAAUUUGAUAAUCCGCAAAAAACCUUACCACAACUUGAAUAUUUAUAUUAUUGAUAUAAUUACAAGCGUUGCACGGCUGUCUUCAGUUAAUGUCGUGAGAUUUUGGUUAGAUCCAUUAAAUUAACGCAAGCCCCUACUUUAUUUUAAAAUAAAGUCGUUCCCCACUAUAUUGGAUAUGAUAACAGGGAUUAAGACAAGUC